CCUGAUCAUAGACAUAGAAAACAGACGCCGCAUUCUGUGCUGAGCGGCGAGAAAUGCGGCAGCCAUCUUGAACCGGUUGCCGCUCUACUGAAGCUAUUGAAGAACCCUUACAAAGUCCAUCUCACAAAAGGUAAGUGAAGGACUUGGGGCACUUAAUACCCCUACCCCAUGUCAUUACUACCCCUACAGUGUUAAUACCCUACCCCAUGU
Non-coding RNA from Pelobates cultripes (western spadefoot toad), 210 nucleotides. Lineage: Eukaryota; Metazoa; Chordata; Amphibia; Anura; Pelobatidae. The record is from the annotation of a GenBank genome assembly.